Molecule: long non-coding RNA, 422 nt
Filed under: Helianthus annuus (common sunflower)
Lineage: Eukaryota; Viridiplantae; Streptophyta; Magnoliopsida; Asterales; Asteraceae
Description: sRNA HanXRQr2_Chr15g0686821
Source: RNAcentral
UCAAAAUUCAUUACGGUAACUCGGAAAAGGCGCAUCUUCUUAUCCCAAAUCAUCUUCAACAACCCCAAAAUCCAUUCUCAAUCCACAAACUCCAUACCAAAAAACGAAAGUAAUUCAUCAGUUACGUAAAGAAAAAACGUUGUGCAAGACGAUCCGUAAGCAUCACCUCGUCGACUCCAGCGAUUCGUAACCGACGCCCCUUCGUCUCCGGCGAUUUGUAUGGAUUUUGCUUCGUCAAACGUUGUCGUCGUUGACGUUCUCACCGAUCGGCACAUCUAUUCGAUUCAGCAACCAUCCAACACCGUCAUCUUUUGGUGAAGUUGUUUUCGUGUUUACAUUUGACGCUUCGAUUCCGGCAUAUGAUUACACCCAUGGCUAUAUGCAAGUUAUACAAAUUCUUCUAUGGAGUUCCAUGGCUGUGA